CCAGCCCGGCGCCGCCGCCGCCCGCUUCAGCCCAACAUGGCGAUGCACAACAAGGCGGCGCCGCCGCAGAUCCCGGACACCCGGCGGGAGCUGGCGGAGCUCGUGAAGAGGAAGCAGGAGCUGGCGGUGAGGGUUGGCACCCGGGGCGCCCAGGAAACACUGGCAAACUUGGAGAGACAGAUCUAUGCUUUUGAAGGAAGCUACCUGGAAGACACUCAGAUGUAUGGCAAUAUUAUUCGUGGCUGGGAUCGGUAUCUGACCAACCAAAAAAACUCCAACAGCAAAAACGAUCGGAGGAACCGGAAGUUCAAGGAAGCGGAGCGGCUCUUCAGUAAAUCCUCAGUGACUUCAGCAGCUGCAGUAAGUGCAUUGGCAGGAGUUCAGGACCAGCUCAUUGAAAAGAGGGAGCCAGGAAGUGGGACGGAAAGUGAUACUUCUCCAGACUUCCACAAUCAGGAAAAUGAGCCCAGCCAGGAGGACCCCGAGGAUCUGGAUGGAUCUGUGCAGGGAGUGAAACCUCAGAAGGCUGCUUCUUCUACUUCCUCAGGGAGUCAUCACAGCAGCCACAAAAAACGAAAGAAUAAAAACCGGCACAGCCCGUCUGGCAUGUUUGAUUAUGACUUUGAGUAUGUAUAUUAGGUUAGGCUGGGAAGUUUUUUUUAAAAACAGAAAAACGUGAUGGAGGAUUGAUCUGAAGUUAAACAAAAAACCACGAGCUGACUAUUAGAAGACUGCUAGUGCCCGAGCUCCCCGGCCGUAGAGCCCUGCUCCCCUCCUCCGACCUCGCAGAGAGAAGCUUCCCUCACCCGAGUGCGUGACCGUCCACCGCUGCUUCCCCAGACCCGGCGCCUGUGACUCUGAGUAGUUUCUUCUGAAAUGUGGUGACAAACAAGUCAUUUCUGUAAGACCACAUCGGAUCAUUUACUUUGUGUCAUUUUUAGUAACAGAACUGCAGAAAGGCCCGAGACAUGGUUAUAAUCCCGGCAAGUUGCUAACCGUGCGCUUCUCCCUUCUUAGAAUGAAUGAAUGUCUCCCCCCUAAAACUGGCUGGCACCAGCUCCGUCUGUGAUACGCAUCAGGCAGUGUUCUCUGGGCUUCCUUCAUGCUGAAACUAGAACGCAGGUCACAUUUCAGAGGGAGGCUGUAAAUAUCUGGCAUUUUCUUAUUUUGUUCGUGUUUUAUCAUUUUUCUAUUAUUGUUUUUAUCAUCUUACUUUCUUCUGGGACUUUUUGUAAUGCCAUUGUAUAGCUCAUAUCUUCCUGCUGACAUAUCUGAUCAUCUGUUUCGUGCAGUUGCCAAUACUCUUAACUGAAAACAAUCUGGUUUACCAUAAGUAAAAUGGGGACUUGGCUUUUUGUUUUUCUGCAGGGGGAAGGUAAAGAAUGUUUAUUUAAUAUUUACCUAUCUUAAAUCUUUCUGAGUUGGAAGCAGUUUCGUGUUCAAGGAACAGGAAAAGCCGAAAAACAUAAGUUUAAAUCAGUCUUUUUAAAAUAGAUAUUUUUAUUCUUUUGUAUAAAUAAAAUUUCACAGGCUUUGUCUUCUCAUGCUUUACUUUUAAACCUGAGAUUGUUUUUUCACUUAUUUAUUCGUAUCAUGCCUUAUGGAAAUUUCCCUUUUUCCAUCUUUUCUCUCUUUGCUGGUAUUUGCCUGAUUAAAAAUUGCUCUAAAAAUCACUAAGACACAUGGAAAGGCCCCAAAUUGUCCUCGAAGCCGAUAAUGUCUGGAGUUCUUGAGCAGAAUGAGUGACAGGAUCACCGAGAGGCUGCGAUGCCCACGGAUGCCCUUUCCUUACAGGGGUGAAUGGGCUACGAACCUGCUGAUGGUUGUUACCUGCCUCUGGAGCAGUGGUGAUCCACCUCGGCUGCACAUUGGAAUCACCUGGGAUGCUUAAGAAAGUACCGAUGCCUGGGUCCCACCCCCUGAGAUUGUGACUUGGGUACAGUCUAGUAUUGGGGGGCAUUCUUUCAAGGAGUCCCUGGGAUUCUGGUAAGAAGCCAAGUCGAGAACCGUUGCAUUAGGAGACUGGGUGGUUCAAUUUAAAUCCUAUGUCGUGAAUCCGUCUAAGGGAUAAGAUUUGGGGCCUCAACUUUCCUUUCAUUCUGCUUAGUCGUAGUCCUUUACUUAUGCCCAUAUCUUUGUUAGAAAAAAUACGUUCCGUUUGUGAUAGUAUUGGUAGAACUGAAAUAUGGAUGGUGUCUAUUAUCAGAACACAUCUACCUUGUCAGAUGUGCAAAAGCUUUCACUCUUGUUCUCAAAUAAACUUUUUUUUGGACUCUGUG
Molecule: RNA transcript, 2279 nt
Organism: Camelus dromedarius (Arabian camel)
Lineage: Eukaryota; Metazoa; Chordata; Mammalia; Artiodactyla; Camelidae
Gene: MEAF6
Gene name: MYST/Esa1 associated factor 6
Exons: 9
Source: RefSeq, a predicted model, not a curated record